Molecule: ribosomal RNA, 421 nt
Filed under: uncultured bacterium
Lineage: Bacteria
Description: bacterial SSU rRNA
Rfam family: Bacterial small subunit ribosomal RNA
Source: RNAcentral
GGGAAUCUUCCACAAUGGGCGAAAGCCUGAUGGAGCAACGCCGCGUGGGUGAAGAAGGUCUUCGGAUCGUAAAACUCUGUUGUUAGAGAAGAACAAGGACGUUAGUAACUGAACGUCCCCUGACGGUAUCUAACCAGAAAGCCACGGCUAACUACGUGCCAGCAGCCGCGGUAAUACGUAGGUGGCAAGCGUUAUCCGGAUUUAUUGGGCGUAAAGGGAACGCAGGCGGUCUUUUAAGUCUGAUGGGAAAGCCUUCGGCUUAACCGGAGUAGUGCAUUGGAAACUGGUUGACUUGAGUGCAGAAGAGGGAAGUGGAAUUCCAUGUGUAGCGGUGAAAUGCGUAGAGAUAUGGAGGAACACCAGUGGCGAAGGCGGCUCUCUGGUCUGUAACUGACGCUGAGGCUCGAAAGCGUGGGGAGCA